Molecule: long non-coding RNA, 6343 nt
Filed under: Lynx pardinus (Iberian lynx)
Lineage: Eukaryota; Metazoa; Chordata; Mammalia; Carnivora; Felidae
Source: RNAcentral
CCGGGCGGCAUCCCCGUGACCACGAUCACCGGUCAGCCCGAAACGGCCACGUUCUCCGACUCAGAGGUGAGCGGGGCUGUGGGACGACAUACCCCCCCCCACACACACACACAAGUGGGGGGGGGCCCAUCUUGGAGGCUGGGUUGGGGGCAUUGCCGUCGGGCAGGGGGUGUGGCUUUGGCUCAGCCCUUGCGUUUAAACGCCCUCCAGGGGCAUCUGGGGGGCUCAGUCGGUGAAGCCAUGGGCUGGGGCUCAGGUCGUCAUCUCACGGUUCGUGGGUUCGAGCCCCGCCUCUGGGUCUGUGCUCACAGCUCACAGCCUGGUUGGGAUCCCCUCUCUCCCUCUCUCUGCCCCUCCCCUCAAAAAUAAAUUAACAUUUUUUAAAAAAAAAAGGCUUAAACACUUUGCAGCUGGAGAAAGACAGUCAGCCCCCCAGAAGCCCCCCAGGCCCCCCCCGGGUGAUGCCGCGAACCCCAAAUAAACCCAGAACGCGUGUAAAUUCGUGUGCCAGCAUCUCGGUCCUUGGCGCGAAAGGGAACGCGCAGCUGGGGUCUUGAGCGCCCGGCUUCUGCCUCCACCGAUACGUCUGCAAUAAUCGAUGAUCAUGAUUAUUGAUUUUAUCACCCUCACGGCAGCCAUCCACCACACGCACUAAAGCGCGUCACCCGGGACCCCAGGGUCAUGGUCAGCCCCCGUGACCAUGGUUCUUCCCCGUGCGCAUGCGCGGAUCUGCCUCUGUGCGCCCGGAGGCACAGGACCCCGAGGGGCGCCCGCCUGGGGAGCGCUAGGACGGGUCGUCCCCGCAGCCCUUUCCUCGGGGGACGUGUUUCUGUGCAUUUUCCUCUUCCCUCUUGGGUGGUAUCGUGACCCAUCUGCCAGCUUUCCCGGCUUUUCUGCGGGCACUUCUCGCCUUGCCACACAAGACACAGAGCUGAGGGGCAGCACAAAGGCGAGCACUGGCGGGUGGCCCUGGGAGUCCGUCUCCAGCACUGAGUCAGGGACUUUCAGGACCCGUGCCCUUUCCAAGGGGACCUGUGGGUUGUGUCUGCUCUCCAAGGGGACCUUCAGGGCCCGUGCCCUUUCCAAGGGGACCUUCGGGCCUGUGCUCUUUCCAAGGGGAACUUCGGGCCCAUGAAUUUCCAAAGGGACCUUCAGGGGCCAUGCCCUUUCCAAGGGGACCUUCGGGGCCCAUGAGCUCUCCAAAGGGACCGUCAGGGCCUGUGCCCUUUCCAAGGGGACCUUUGGGUCGCAUGUGCUCUCCAAGGGGACCUUCGGGCCCGUGCCCUUUCCAAGGGGACCUUUGGGACCUGUGCCCUUUCCAAGGGGACUUCGGGGCCCGUGAGCUUUCCAAAGGGACCUUCAGGGGCCAUGCCCUUUCCAAGGGGAGCUUCAGGGCCCGUGAGCUCUCCAAAGGGAACUUCUGGCCCGUGCCCUUUCCAAGGGGACCUUCGGGGCCCGUGAGCUCUCCAGAGGGACCGUCAGGGCCCAUGCCCUUUCCAAGGAGAACUUCAGGGCCCGUGCCCUUUCCAAAGGAACUUCAGGGCCUGUGAGCUCUCCAAAGGGACCUUCAGGGCCCGUGCCCUUUCCAAGGGGACCUUCAGGACCUGUGCCCUUUCCAAGGGGACCUUUGGGUCGCGUGUGCUCUCCAAGGGGACUUUCGGGCCCGUGCCCUUUCCAAGGGGACCUUCGGGACCCGUGAGCUUUCCAACAGGACCUUCAGGGGCCAUGCCCUUUCCAAGGGGAGCUUUGGGGCCCGUGAGCUCUCCAAAGGGAACUUCUGGCCUGUGCCCUUUCCAAGGGGACUUCGGGGCCCAUGAGCUUUCCAAAGGGACCUUCAGGGACCAUGCCCUUUCCAAGGGGACCUUCAGGCCUGUGCCCUUUCCAAGGGGACCUUUGGGUCAUGUCUGCUCUCCAAAGGGACCUUCAGGGCCCGUGCCCUUUCCAAGGGGAACUUAGGGCCCGUGCCCUUUCCAAGGGGACCUUUGGGACCCGUGAGCUUUCCAAAGGGACCUUCAGGGCCCGUGCCCUUUCCAAGGGGACCCUCAGGACCUGUGCCCUUUCCAAGGGGACCUUUGGGGCUCAUGAGCUCUCCAAAGGGAACUUCUGGCCCGUGCCCUUUCCAAGGGGAUUUCGGGGCCCGUGAGCUUUCCAAAGGGACCUUCGGGGGCCAUGCCCUUUCCAAGGGGAGCUUUGGGGCCUGUGAGCUCUCCAAAGGGAACUUCAGGGGCCAUGCCCUUUCCAAGAGGACAUUUGGGCCCGUGCCCUUUCCAAGGGGACCUUUGGGUCGUGUCUGUUCUCCAAAGGGACCUUCAGGGCCCGUGCCCUUUCCAAGGGGAACUUCGGGUCCCGUGCCCUUUCCAAGGGGACCUUUGGGGCCCGUGAGCUCUCCAAAGGGACCUUCGGGGCCCGUGCCCUUUCCAAGGGACCUUCGGAGCCUGUGUGCUCUCGAAGGGGAACUUUGGGACCUGUGCCCUCUCCAAGGGGACAUUCGGGACCUCUGCCUUUUCCAAGGGGAACUUCGGGGCCGUGUGCUCUCCAAGGGAAACUUCAGGGCCCGUGCCCUUUCCAAGGGGGGCCCCUCAUGCACGUUGGCUUUGCUUGUGUGCAGAGGGCACUCGGGGAAGGUGACUCCCAGCUCUCAGGGCGCAGCUUACCAGCGCGCACCCUCUAAUUACCCGGGGUUAAUCUCCAGGCGGAGCCUGGGAGGACCCGUAAUCUAUGGAGAUGUAAGCUAAUUACUUAAUCACUUGCAUUUGUAAAUCACAUUAUUGGAAAAGAAAUUACUCCGGUGAUCGAAUUACAGAUAUCUAUCCGCUAAUAGCUCUGAUUAACUGGUGAUGUUAAUCUGUCAUUUUGAAAGCUAAUAUUAACAGCAUCAAUCUCGCUGGAAAUGUAAGCAGUUUAUGCGAAAUAGAACUUGGGUCUAUUUAAGGUGCAAGGCGGUGACGUGCUGGGUCUGGGGUGCUGUAUGGGUGGGUCACGUUGGCCGGUUAAACCUUUGUGGGUGUCCAAAGCCUGGAGGGUGACACCAGACGGGGACAUGUGCCUUUUGACCAGCACCGUGAAGGGAGACAGACACAAGGGGACAGGCGAUUACCAGAAAGUUCCAAAGGUUGCAGAAAAAAGGACCCCCCAGCACCAUCAAGAGAGACCCAAAGUGUUUACCAAGGGUUUCUUCCCCAUGACAACGUGUCACCCGACGUUCCAAGGAAGGAAGCAUUUAUGGGCCAGCAGCUGGGUGACGUUGGUUUCCACUCUAGCAACAUAAAUUCUCUUGUCUUUAAUGCACGUCGAGUCACCGUAAAGAAAAAGGAAUUUCGGGGGCGCCUGAGUGGCUCAGUCCACGUAGGGCAGGUCAUGAUCUCACGACUUGUGAGUUGGGGCUCUGUCCCUCUCUCCCUCUGCCCCUCCCCCACUCGUGCUUGCUCUCUCUCUAAAAAACAAAAGAAAAAGAAAAGGAAUACAGAUAGAAUAUGUAGAUAUUACCUAUACAAACAUUAUAUAUUAUAUACAUAGAAAUAGAAGUGUUAUAUAUGUUAUGUUUAUAAUAUAUAAGUAUAAUAUAUAAUAUAUAAAAUUAUAAUAUAUAUUAUAAGCAUAAUAUAUAUUUACACCAUAUUCUAAUUAUAUAUUAUAUAUUGUAUAGUGUAUGUUAUAUGUUAUAUGUUAUGUAUUAUAAGCAUUAUAUAUAUUUCCACCAUAUUGUCUUUAUCCAUUGCUUGGUCAACAGACAUCUACAUUGUUGAUGUACGUGAUUUUAUAAACAAUUACUUUUUUUAAAAAAUCACAAGACAUCUGGCCAAGAAAUGCCAGGUGCCACGGAUUUCAGAGGCCACCGCACGUCCCACGAUAAACACUGCCUCACAGCACAUCCUUAACGCCAGGAAACGUGAUCAAGCCACAUACCUUAAAGAGUCACAGUUGCAUUUCUGGGAAGCUACCCCAGUCCCGGGAAGCUCACACGAGGACAUUACUGCGGCGUGUCUUGUGAGACCCAGAGUGUGGACACAGCCACCCCGGUUGAUGAUUUGUGUUCACGAUUCCCUAGUUGACUCACGGAUACGGGUCCGAGGAGACACCCGCCCGCCCUUCUUAACAUGUGUCGUUGGCCAUCUCUGGUGAUUUUUGGAGAGUUCCUCGCAAAGGCCACGGGUUCCUUUCCAGCUGUCUCCUCCCCCUGGAGCCCACGCCUGACACGGGGGGUGGUGAAUAGGGAAUUGGCCACCUGUCCGUGCCUCACCAGGCAACAUCUGUUGGGGAGUAGGGAAUAUCCUUUCUUCCUAUUUAAUUUUUAAUCUUCUUCUCUCUAGGAUGUUGGCAGUAAGAGAGGAGAGUGUACCCGAGUUAGCUUUGUAAAAAUGUGCAUCUCUGAGAAUCUGAUCCUGCGUCCCACGGCCUCUUGUAGAGACGGAAGGCACUGCGACAGUGUUAAAACCCAGCUGGUAAGUGUGGAGACGUAGGUAGGAGCCCUUCAGUGGAAACGCGUUAGGAACAGCAAGACGUGAGCCCUUGUAACUCUCCAAGAAAGGUAUCACGGAGGGCCAUGGGUUGAGCCACGUUGCCUCCUGCCCAGUGGGACCUUAUUGGCAGGUGGGACCUUCACAGAUGUCAUCAAGUUAAGGCGAGGUCACUAGGUUGGGUCUGAAUCCAACGGGGCUCCUGUCCUUACAAGAAGACGAGACCAGAACACAAGCACGUGACCACAGGGGCAGAGAUGUGUGUGACGCGUCCACAUGCCCAAGAACACCAAUGAUCGCCAGUGGCCACCAGAAGCUGGAGAAAAGCCUUGAGCAGACACUCCCCUGGAGAGACCAGAAGGAGUCACCCGGGGUGACACAGAGGCUUGUAUUGUCUCUGUGUCAGAGAGGCUUGUACUGUCAAUCGACAGGCUCUUACCGCGUGGCUCCCAUCAUCUGUGGGGGGUUAGGAGUCUAACAACUGGGAGUAGAAAAGGAGGUGCCCCCAGAGCAUUGUGUCUGACCCUCCCCCACCCAUGGAACUGUUGAGACACAUGUGCUGUCUUCAGCCACUACCCCUGAAAAGCUCAGUAUUCGUCACCCUGUGUAGGACCAGGAGAAAGAAAGAGAAACCCUUAUAUUUUCAUUGGCUCUUGGUGACUGAAACCCUGCCAAGAACACAAAACACCAGAGUUGCCUGAAAUGUGAGUUUUUCCCAUCUGAAGCUCUUAGCAUGGUUCACACUUCUCCCAAUUUCUCACUGACCUCUGCGUCUGCCCUGGUCUUUCCCCAGCCUCCCGGUGCCCCCAUUUUCAAGUUCACUAACCUCCAACAGAAAGAUCAGCUUGUCGGUGGAUUCCCUCACUGGUUCUCGUCAGUACCGUGACCGCAUAAGCUGCUGGUGUGCAUGAAGCUCUGUGGGAAAGACAGGAUUUUGCCGCUGUUUUGUAAAUUUAUAAGUAUCCGUUUGCCGGGGCACAGGUCUGCCUUGGGUUCAACCAUACUGUAACAGGUCAGGUUGCUGACUUCAUGUUGGCUCAACCAAGCUCAUGGUCCUUGUGAUAAUGAGAUGUAUAAAAUGUCAUAACGUGUUUUAACACGAGUGUGUGCCCACAUGGGAAAUGUAAAAGAAACUGGAGACGAUUCAGGGUGUGUUAGAGGUUCUUAAAGAGCAAAGUAGACUUCAAAAGGACUUGGUUAUACAGUAAAACCUUGGAUUUCGAGCGUUCUCCAAGAUGAGCAAACAUGGCUAACAAAUUUUAACUUGAUAAGCAAGCAAUGUCUUGCUUUAUGAGGGGUACGUGACACUGAACAUCACACGAUCACAACUGAGCCGAUGGUUCUUUUCUUUUUUUAAUGUUUUAUUUAUUUUUGACACAGAGAGAGACAGAGCGUGAGCAGGGGAGGGGCAGAGAGAGAGAGAGAGACACAGAAUCCAAAGCAGGCUCCAGGUUCCGAGCUGUCAGCACAGAGCCCGACGUGGGGCUCGAACCCACAGACCGCGAGAUCAUGAUCUGAGCCAAAGUCGGAUGCUUCACCGACUGAGCUACCCGGGCGCCCCUGAGCCAAUGGUUCUUGAAAUUUGCUUUCAUAGACAAGUGCUUUGGAUUACAAGCAUGCGUCCGGAACAAAUUUUGCUUGCAAACCAAGGUUUUAGCAUAUUCUCAUUUUUUUUUUCUGUUGAUAAAUUUGCUGUUGCAGGAAUCGAGUGUGUUCUAGAGGGGGAAUCACUAGUAGGUUCUUCCUACUGACUUUAUAAACCGGGACAACAGUUGUAUGGAUUUCUUUGCAUCUCUCUGAGAAUUGGCUAAUUGUUCGUUUUACUCCGAAACAUUCAUUCAAUUCAAUGGCAACCUCAAAGCACAUUAAACACACAAAGUUUAAUA